This 938-nucleotide ribosomal RNA is filed under the name uncultured Actinomycetales bacterium. Its description in RNAcentral is "bacterial SSU rRNA". It matches the Rfam family "Bacterial small subunit ribosomal RNA", at positions 82 to 1037 of the family's 1533-position model. Lineage: Bacteria; Bacillati; Actinomycetota; Actinomycetes; Actinomycetales. The record is from RNAcentral.
CGGGUGUGAAUUAGCGGCGAACGGCUGAGGAACACGUGAAGAAUCUGCCUUCAACUCUGGGGUAACUCCGGGAAACCGGGGCUAAUACCGGAUAUGAGCCUUGAUCGCAUGAUCGGGGCUGGAAAGUUUUUCGGUUGAAGAUGACUUCGCGGCCUAUCAGCUUGUUGGUGAGGUAAUGGCUCACCAAGGCGACGACGGGUAGCCGGCCUGAGAGGGCGACCGGCCACACUGGGACUGAGACACGGCCCAGACUCCUACGGGAGGCAGCAGUGGGGAAUAUUGGGCAAUGGAGGAAACUCUGACCCAGCGACGCCGCGUGAGGGAUGAAGGCCUUCGGGUUGUAAACCUCUUGCAGUAGGGAAGAAGCGAAAGUGACGGUACCUACAGAAGAAGCACCGGCUAACUAUGUGCCAGCAGCCGCGGUAAUACAUAGGGUGCAAGCGUUGUCCGGAAUUAUUGGGCGUAAAGAGCUCGUAGGUGGUUCGAUACGUCGGAUGUGAAAAUCAGGGGCUCAACCCCUGACCUGCAUCCGAUACGGUCGAGCUAGAGUUUGGUAGGGGAGACUGGAAUUCCUGGUGUAGCGGUGGAAUGCGCAGAUAUCAGGAGGAACACCGAUGGCGAAGGCAGGUCUCUGGGCCAAUACUGACACUGAGGAGCGAAAGCGUGGGGAGCGAGCAGGAUUAGAUACCCUGGUAGUCCACGCCGUAAACGGUGGGCGCUAGUUGUGCGAACCUUCCACGGUUUGUGCGACGCAGCUAACGCAUUAAGCGCCCCGCCUGGGGAGUACGAUCGCAAGAUUAAAACUCAAAGGAAUUGACGGGGCCCCGCACAAGCAGCGGAGCAUGCGGCUUAAUUCGACGCAACGCGAAGAACCUUACCAAGGCUUGACAUAUACAGGAAUAUGGCAGAGAUGUCAUAGCCCGCAGGUCUGUAUACAG